Etheostoma cragini (Arkansas darter) is the source of this 109-nucleotide long non-coding RNA. RefSeq lists it as uncharacterized. NCBI's taxonomy places the organism in Eukaryota, Metazoa, Chordata, Actinopteri, Perciformes, Percidae. The transcript is spliced from 3 exons. The record is from RefSeq and is a predicted model, not a curated record.
UGUAGGUGUUGCAGUUGUUGGUGCGGCAGUUGUAGGUGCAGCAGUUGUAGGUGCGGCUGUUGUUGGUGCUGCUGUUGUAGGUACAGCAGUUGUUGGUGCGCCAGUUGUA